Polypterus senegalus (gray bichir) is the source of this 802-nucleotide long non-coding RNA. RefSeq lists it as uncharacterized. The record is from RefSeq and is a predicted model, not a curated record. NCBI's taxonomy places the organism in Eukaryota, Metazoa, Chordata, Cladistia, Polypteriformes, Polypteridae. The transcript has 3 exons.
UAAAUGACUUCAAUGAAAAGAACAUUUUGGGCCAUGUGUCAUUUAUUUAAUCAGUAUGAAGAAGUGAAAGGACACGGCAGCCUUCCACAGCUCAUCUCUUUAUUUGCACCCUUUCCAAACAAGGUGCCCUUGAUAGAGAUGGAAAGAAUGUAUGAAGGUGACUUCAGUGACAUCAGUUUUCUUAAACAAUAUCGUCAAGACAAUGUCACAGUUACACAGUACAAAAGGCUUUACAACAACUUCGAAGAUUCAUAUUCAGCAGUCUUUAUGAGCCUGAAAGAGAGGAACGGAUAAGCAACACUUGGUAUUAUAAAUGUAUCGUGGACUGUGGAAACCAGGAGGACUUCACUGAAUCAGUGACUCUCACAAUUACUGGCGUCCACGUGGACCCAGACUGGACACAGGAGACACUGAAGACCAUAAGUAACUUUAUAAAAUGCUCCUCAAGUAAAGUUGCCAUCAUAGUGGACUAUGGUGGUGUUAAUGAAAUAAAGGAAAGAUUUGUUCACUUCUUAUCAGAUUGCCUGGAUUUGAUAACUUCAAUACGUUUUCUAGAAGGAUUCAAUGAAAAAACUUUUGGGCCAUGUGCGGUUAUUCAAGCACUAUGAAGAAAUAAAAGGACACAAAAGCCUUCAGCGACUCAUCUCUUUAUUUGAACGUUUUCCAAAUGAUGUGCCUUUGACAAACAUUGAGAGGACUGAUGAAAGUGACUUCAGUUUUCUUACACGAUAUCAUCAGGACAACGUCACUGUUUCAUGGCACAAAGAGGCUUUACAUCAACUUUGGUUAUGCAUAUUCAGAA